CAGUCGCCACGGUAAUACGUAGGUGGCAAGCGUUGUCCGGAAUUAUUGGGCGUAAAGGGCUCGCAGGCGGUUUCUUAAGUCUGAUGUGAAAGCCCCCGGCUCAACCGGGGAGGGUCAUUGGAAACUGGGAAACUUGAGUGCAGAAGAGGAGAGUGGAAUUCCACGUGUAGCGGUGAAAUGCGUAGAGAUGUGGAGGAACACCAGUGGCGAAGGCGACUCUCUGGUCUGUAACUGGCGCUGAGGAGCGAAAGCGUGGGGAGCGAACAGGAUUAGAUACCCCCGUAGUCCCUGUCUCUUAUAC
RNAcentral lists this ribosomal RNA (301 nucleotides) under uncultured bacterium. RNAcentral describes it as "partial 16S ribosomal RNA". It matches the Rfam family "Bacterial small subunit ribosomal RNA", at positions 509 to 807 of the family's 1533-position model. The record is from RNAcentral.